This 385-nucleotide ribosomal RNA is filed under the name uncultured bacterium. RNAcentral describes it as "bacterial SSU rRNA". It matches the Rfam family "Bacterial small subunit ribosomal RNA", at positions 8 to 380 of the family's 1533-position model. The record is from RNAcentral.
AGAGUUUGAUCCUGGCUCAGAACGAACGCUGGCGGCGUGCCUAACACAUGCAAGUCGAACGGAGGCAAGGGGCUUGCUCCUUGCUUUAGUGGCGCACGGGUGAGUAACGCGUAGAUAAUCUACCUGAAGAUCCGGGAUAACAUUCCGAAAGGGGUGCUAAUACCGGAUAAGCCCACGAAGUCUUCGGACUUUGGGAAAAGGGGGGGACCUUCGGGCCUUCUGUCUUCAGAUGAGUCUACGUACCAUUAGCUAGUUGGUGGGGUAAAGGCCUACCAAGGCUACGAUGGUUAGCUGGUCUGAGAGGAUGAUCAGCCACACUGGAACUGAGACACGGUCCAGACUCCUACGGGAGGCAGCAGUGGGGAAUUUUGCGCAAUGGGGGAAA